AUACCAGGAAAAUUCCGUAGAGACUCGAAAUGGAAUAGCUAGUAUUAACAAAAAAGUGGAUCACUGGACUGCUGGUGGGAUAUUUUCUGACAAUCUUUCAUCUGGUAUGCAAACACAGCUAGUGGUUUUCAUUUUACACGCAUCAUCCCCAAGCCUGGAUUCCAACUGCGCUUGCUGGAUGUCGGAACAGCCAUAUCAAAUAAUGCCUAAACUUAGCCUGGGAUCAGCUGUGAAUAUUGCACCAGAUGAAAAAGGCUUAAAAAAGCUGUCACGCAGAAAUAGCCUAGAAAGAUAUCACAGUGCUGCUCCGUGCCCAGGGCUGGGAGAUAAAUGACUUACCCUGCUUUGAAAGGUAAUACAGCCCGUGUAACCAAUGACAGGUGCUACUCUAGAGCAUGAACAGAAAGAACUUUUAGGUAGUUUUCUGCAAGUAGUGGCAGCUCUCAUAUCUUUGGGCUAAAUUCAUUCUCAUGCAGGGGUCAGUAUCCUGCACAGUGGGACACUUCUGUUGUGUUCAAAAGCUGCAGAGUUCACACGCAUGUGUCUCCUUUAUUUUUCUGUCUAUUUUACAGCCAGGAUUUAGAAUUAUUUCCUAUAUUGUAUUUUAGCUUUGCUGUAUUUUGAAAAACAAGUUAUGUAUUUUCACAUAUAUAAACUACCCUUUAGCUGGAGUGGCACUUGGAAACCUACUUUCUAGAGCACAAUUACUCAGAGUAAUGAACUGCACAGAACUGAAAAAGAAAAUCAACCUAAAAUAUUCUAAUAUGCCCCAAACUCAGUAGGAUUCAACACCUUUCCACUUAUAACACUUUAACCAUGUUGUACAAUACACUAAAAUUACUAAGAGAUGUUCUUGAAUUUGGUUUCAGUAACAGCCCAUAUCAGAUGUUCAUGAGGCCAGAGGCCUGCUGAUAUCACUGUGCCAAAUUAGUUUUAGUGCUCUCGCUCAUUUGACACUGUCCUUCACCAGGCUUUCUUUCCCGUGCUUACUUCGGACCUGAGCACUAUAGAUGCCUUGAGGAUGUCCUCCCACACGGCCUGUUUGAAUUCGAACUGCAUUAAUGAGCACUUUUUUCUAGUUAAAGAGCUCUAGAUAUUUUCCUUUUUCAUUUUUUUUGGAAGCUACUGCACGAUUAGUUAUAAGAUAAUGCACAAUAUUAUUUUCCCUCCAAAAGAGAGCCUGCGAAACAGAUCCCCAGAUGGUACAAAUUAAAGGUAGUUCCUCUGGCUUCAGUGGCAGUUUGCUGAUUCACAUCAGCUGAACAUCUGCUCUUGCGAUUAGAAAAUAAACUUAGGGCUCCCACAUGACUGCA
This 1313-nucleotide long non-coding RNA is filed under the name Anas platyrhynchos platyrhynchos (common mallard). RNAcentral's name for it is "lncRNA (ENSAPLG00000025440.1)". Lineage: Eukaryota; Metazoa; Chordata; Aves; Anseriformes; Anatidae. The record is from RNAcentral.